UGGUUUCUUAACAUUUAUAUUAAAUCUAAAUUUUUAGUUAAAAAUUUAAAAUUAAAUUAAAAGACGAGAAGACGCUAUAGAGUUUUAUAUCAAAUUUAUUAUAAUUUAUUAAUAAUAAUUAAAAUAUUAUUUAUUUUUAUAUUUUGUUGGGGUGACAGUAAAAUUGAUUAAUCUUUUAUUAUUUUUUAACAAUGAUUUUUGAAUAAUUGAUCCGUUUUUUAUGAUUAAAAGAUUAAAUUACCUUAGGGAUAACAGCGUAAUUUUAUUG
This 268-nucleotide ribosomal RNA is filed under the name Coelosia brevilobata. RNAcentral describes it as "partial 16S ribosomal RNA". Lineage: Eukaryota; Metazoa; Arthropoda; Insecta; Diptera; Mycetophilidae. The record is from RNAcentral.